This 496-nucleotide ribosomal RNA is filed under the name uncultured bacterium. Its description in RNAcentral is "partial 16S ribosomal RNA". It matches the Rfam family "Bacterial small subunit ribosomal RNA", at positions 28 to 506 of the family's 1533-position model. The record is from RNAcentral.
GAUGAACGCUGGCGGCGUGCCUAAUACAUGCAAGUCGAGCGAACAGACGAGGAGCUUGCUCCUCUGACGUUAGCGGCGGACGGGUGAGUAACACGUGGAUAACCUACCUAUAAGACUGGGAUAACUUCGGGAAACCGGAGCUAAUACCGGAUAACAUGUUGAACCGCAUGGUUUAACAGUGAAAGACGGUCUUGCUGUCACUUAUAGAUGGAUCCGCGCCGCAUUAGCUAGUUGGUAAGGUAACGGCUUACCAAGGCAACGAUGCGUAGCCGACCUGAGAGGGUGAUCGGCCACACUGGAACUGAGACACGGUCCAGACUCCUACGGGAGGCAGCAGUAGGGAAUCUUCCGCAAUGGGCGAAAGCCUGACGGAGCAACGCCGCGUGAGUGAAGAAGGUCUUCGGAUCGUAAAACUCUGUUAUUAGGGAAGAACAAAUGUGUAAGUAACGAUGCACGUCUUGACGGUACCUAAUCAGAAAGCCACGGCUAACUACGU